AGUGAACGCUGGCGGCAGGCCUAACACAUGCAAGUCGAACGGCAGCACAGUAAGAGCUUGCUCUUACGGGUGGCGAGUGGCGGACGGGUGAGGAAUACAUCGGAAUCUACUUUUUCGUGGGGGAUAACGUAGGGAAACUUACGCUAAUACCGCAUACGACCUACGGGUGAAAGCAGGGGAGCUUCGGACCUUGCGCGAUUGAAUGAGCCGAUGUCGGAUUAGCUAGUUGGCGGGGUAAAGGCACACCAAGGCGACGAUCCGUAGCGGGUCUGAGAGGAUGAUCAGCCACACUGGAACUGAGACACGGUCCAGACUCCUACGGGAGGCAGCAGUGGGGAAUAUUGGACAAUGGGCGCAAGCCUGAUCCAGCCAUACCGCGUGGGUGAAGAAGGCCUUCGGGUUGUAAAGCCCUUUUGUUGGGAAAGAAAAGCAGCAGGUUAAUCCCCCGCUGUUCUGACGGUACCCAAAGAAUAAGCACCGGCUAACUUCGUG
RNAcentral lists this ribosomal RNA (492 nucleotides) under uncultured bacterium. RNAcentral describes it as "partial 16S ribosomal RNA". It matches the Rfam family "Bacterial small subunit ribosomal RNA", at positions 29 to 507 of the family's 1533-position model. The record is from RNAcentral.